Molecule: unclassified non-coding RNA, 269 nt
Filed under: fungal sp.
Lineage: Eukaryota; Fungi
Description: partial internal transcribed spacer region
Rfam family: Eukaryotic small subunit ribosomal RNA (bases 1-46)
Source: RNAcentral
AAGUCGUAACAAGGUCUCCGUAGGUGAACCUGCGGAGGGAUCAUUCACAUGAUUACUUUAUUAAACAAACUGUGAACUUUAUAUACUAUUCGUGUUUUUUGUGUUGGUUUUAUUACUUUCACAUUAAACAUUGUCAUUCGUUGAACAUAAGAUAGUUGGCUUGAAUUUUAUUAUUCUUUCUCAGCUUUGAUUUGACUGAAAAUUAAACACUUUCUCUCAAUCAACCAUAAACAUAGAAACAACUCUAUGCCCUGGAUAUCUUGGUUCUC